AAUGAACGCUGGCGGCAUGCCUAACACAUGCAAGUCGAACGAAGGCUUCGGCCUUAGUGGCGCACGGGUGCGUAACGCGUGGGAAUCUGCCCUUGGGUUCGGAAUAACAGUUAGAAAUGACUGCUAAUACCGGAUGAUGUCGUAAGACCAAAGAUUUAUCGCCCAAGGAUGAGCCCGCGUAGGAUUAGCUAGUUGGUGGGGUAAAGGCCCACCAAGGCGACGAUCCUUAGCUGGUCUGAGAGGAUGAUCAGCCACACUGGGACUGAGACACGGCCCAGACUCCUACGGGAGGCAGCAGUGGGGAAUAUUGGACAAUGGGCGAAAGCCUGAUCCAGCAAUGCCGCGUGAGUGAUGAAGGCCUUAGGGUUGUAAAGCUCUUUUACCCGGGAUGAUAAUGACAGUAACCGGGAGAAUAAGCUCCG
RNAcentral lists this ribosomal RNA (422 nucleotides) under Sphingomonas koreensis. RNAcentral's name for it is "bacterial SSU rRNA". It matches the Rfam family "Bacterial small subunit ribosomal RNA", at positions 29 to 495 of the family's 1533-position model. The record is from RNAcentral. Lineage: Bacteria; Pseudomonadati; Pseudomonadota; Alphaproteobacteria; Sphingomonadales; Sphingomonadaceae.